AUGGUUAAGUUAGAAAGGGCGCACGGUGGAUGCCUUGGCACUAGGAGCCGAAGAAGGACGGGACUAACACCGAUAUGCUUUGGGGAGCUGUACGUAAGCGUUGAUCCAGAGAUUUCCGAAUGGGGGAACCCACUAUCUUUAGUCGGAUAGUAUCCUUACGUGAAUACAUAGCGUAAGGAAGGCAGACCCAGGGAACUGAAACAUCUAAGUACCUGGAGGAAGAGAAAGAAAAAUCGAUUUCCUGAGUAGCGGCGAGCGAAACGGAAAGAGCCCAAACCAAGAAGCUUGCUUCUUGGGGUUGUAGGACACUCUAUACGGAGUUACAAAGGAAUGUGGUAAACGAAGUGGUCUGGAAAGGCCCGCCAAAGAAGGUAACAGCCCUGUAAUUGAAAGCAUAUUCCCUCCAGAGUGGAUCCUGAGUACGGCGGAACACGUGAAAUUCCGUCGGAAUCCGGGAGGACCAUCUCCCAAGGCUAAAUACUCCCUAGUGACCGAUAGUGAACCAGUACCGUGAGGGAAAGGUGAAAAGCACCCCGGAAGGGGAGUGAAACAGUUCCUGAAACCGUGUGCCUACAAGUAGUUAGAGCCCGUUAAUGGGUGAUAGCGUGCCUUUUGUAGAAUGAACCGGCGAGUUACGAUUUGUUGCAAGGUUAAGCGGAAAAAGCGGAGCCGUAGCGAAAGCGAGUCUGAAUAGGGCGUAUGAGUAACAGGUCGUAGACCCGAAACCAGGUGAUCUACCCAUGUCCAGGAUGAAGGUGAGGUAAUACUCACUGGAGGUCCGAACCCACG
This 789-nucleotide ribosomal RNA is filed under the name Listeria booriae. RNAcentral describes it as "partial 23S ribosomal RNA". It matches the Rfam family "Bacterial large subunit ribosomal RNA", at positions 1 to 784 of the family's 2925-position model. Lineage: Bacteria; Bacillati; Bacillota; Bacilli; Caryophanales; Listeriaceae. The record is from RNAcentral.